Molecule: ribosomal RNA, 168 nt
Filed under: uncultured Hyphomicrobium sp.
Lineage: Bacteria; Pseudomonadati; Pseudomonadota; Alphaproteobacteria; Hyphomicrobiales; Hyphomicrobiaceae
Description: partial 16S ribosomal RNA
Rfam family: Bacterial small subunit ribosomal RNA
Source: RNAcentral
UCCUACGGGAGGCAGCAGUGGGGAAUAUUGGACAAUGGGCGCAAGCCUGAUCCAGCCAUGCCGCGUGAGUGAUGAAGGCCUUAGGGUUGUAAAGCUCUUUUGGCAGGGACGAUAAUGACUGUACCUGCAGAAUAAGCCCCGGCCAACUUCGUGCCAGCAGCCGCGGUA